RNAcentral lists this ribosomal RNA (405 nucleotides) under Pseudomonas sp. DJ13. RNAcentral's name for it is "bacterial SSU rRNA". It matches the Rfam family "Bacterial small subunit ribosomal RNA", at positions 8 to 415 of the family's 1533-position model. Lineage: Bacteria; Pseudomonadati; Pseudomonadota; Gammaproteobacteria; Pseudomonadales; Pseudomonadaceae. The record is from RNAcentral.
AGAGUUUGAUCAUGGCUCAGAUUGAACGCUGGCGGCAGGCCUAACACAUGCAAGUCGAGCGGUAGAGAGAAGCUUGCUUCUCUUGAGAGCGGCGGACGGGUGAGUAAUGCCUAGGAAUCUGCCUGGUAGUGGGGGAUAACGUUCGGAAACGGACGCUAAUACCGCAUACGUCCUACGGGAGAAAGCAGGGGACCUUCGGGCCUUGCGCUAUCAGAUGAGCCUAGGUCGGAUUAGCUAGUUGGUGAGGUAAUGGCUCACCAAGGCGACGAUCCGUAACUGGUCUGAGAGGAUGAUCAGUCACACUGGAAAUGAGACACGGUCCAGACUCCUACGGGAGGCAGCAGUGGGGAAUAUUGGACAAUGGGCGAAAGCCUGAUCCAGCCAUGCCGGGUGUGUGAAGAAGGU